AAAAGGUGGUGUUUCAUCAGGGAAAAAAAAUCUCAACGUAUUGAAAAUGUUUUGUUUCAAGCUCAGAGUAGUUCUUACCCUCUCUCCCAUUUCAUUCAUGUUGAUACUUGAUGUUGCGUGCAAAUUACCACUAUAAUUUUUUGAGCCAUUCACAAGUCACGAAUUUAGCUGAAGACAGAAUUUUUUAAAAAUGUUACUUCUCAUUAAUUGGUGGAUAUUUGACCCCCACCCCCCACCCCACCUAGAUAUGGUCUCCAAAACUUCAAAAUCCUAAGUUAAGCUUCAUCUCCAGCAAGGUCUAAUUGUUAAGCCACUCACCUCUAUAACAGCUGUCUGAAGUACCGUGGAUGGUAGAAUUUUAGACCUAAAUGCCAAUUAGAUGAUUUAAUAAGCCCAUCCACAUUGAUUUGAAUACAGUAAUAAAUAUUCAAUAUAUUUCACAUUUUCCCAGUUUGUUGUUUUCUCCAAAACUCUAAUUUUCAGAGCUCAGAAUACAAUAAAAGAAACAUCAGUGUUGUACACAUUCUUACCAAGCAAGUUUUCCAGUAAGAUAUCCACCUCUGGUCACAGAGGUUUCUUCAACAAUCUGCAAGUCAAACAGAUCUUUCUUACCAUGUUCAGAGAGGAAUUAUUUUUUAAUUCAUGAAAAGUGUUAGAAACAAACCUUACCUAGUCUUACUCCCCUUUCAGGUCUAAAUGCUAGGAGACCUACCACUGUAGGCCAACUCAAAUAGCUAUGACCUGGGGAGCUUCCAAUUGGUGAAGAACUCCUAGACUUUCUUCGUUAUUUCAUCACUGACAGGCAGAUUUAACUAUUUGGGGAAGCUGCUCACUAUCAGCAUAGUAUAUUUAUGCCUUCUCUUGUCUGGAAGUUGAAGCUCUUGCUGCCUUGUCCUUCUUUAAUUUGCUGACUCGGGCGCUGCAGUCCUGUCUGAAUCUCGUUUGAUCCUCAUUUCGACUAAGAUAUCUUUAAUGCCGGUUAUUCACUGUCCACUCCUUUUACUUGUCAGAAUUCAGAGAGAUCUAGGUCUAAGUCACUGAUUACCUUACAAGUUUCACAUUUUUACAAAAGAUUAACACGCUGGUAUUGUUUUCUCUAUAUAACAUCAAGAGUCAUUCCAUCACCAUUAAAAACAGAUUGAAUGUCUUAACCAAUUACUCAUUAUGUUGCUGGAUUCAGUGACAGACUUAGAAGGGAUGAGUCUGAUCUACCUUUGCAGGAAAUGCACAUAUAUGUACUAAUGUAAGCCCCCCCCCCCCCCGAGAUAGCCUAUGGGGAGAUGGCAUAUAAAUUUAAAAAAUAAGGAA
Non-coding RNA from Notechis scutatus (mainland tiger snake), 1308 nucleotides. The record is from RefSeq and is a predicted model, not a curated record. NCBI's taxonomy places the organism in Eukaryota, Metazoa, Chordata, Lepidosauria, Squamata, Elapidae.